UGGGAGAUAGCAAGAAACGGGGAGCAGUGU
This 30-nucleotide non-coding RNA is filed under the name Mus musculus (house mouse). Lineage: Eukaryota; Metazoa; Chordata; Mammalia; Rodentia; Muridae. The record is from RNAcentral.